RNAcentral lists this ribosomal RNA (815 nucleotides) under Pseudocercospora macadamiae. Its description in RNAcentral is "partial 28S ribosomal RNA". Lineage: Eukaryota; Fungi; Ascomycota; Dothideomycetes; Mycosphaerellales; Mycosphaerellaceae. The record is from RNAcentral.
AAGGGAAAAGUGGCGGAGCAGGGGGAGUGGGGUUUUGCGUAGGGGUAGCGGCCGGUCCGGUACCUUGGAUAAGACGAGUAGAGGGUAGAACCUGUGCGUGAUUGGCCUUCAACGUCCACGCGCUGCUUCAAAAAUUAGAGUUGUUUGGGAGUGGGCCCUAAGUGCGAGGAAAAUGUCUUCUAAGCUAGCGCCGGCCAGAGACCGAUCGCGAGAAUUUGAAAGAACGAUAGACGACUAGCAACGGGAAAGAGAAUGUACAGAUGACUAUUUUUGAGGGGUCUUCCAGCUUUAAGGCUUGAGAUAGUUUACGGUGGUCUAUGAAGGGUUUUCUCGUUCGGAGGCCUCAUAAAUGGGAACCUACUAAUAUCUUGGGAAUACUUCGGCAUGAGCGGUACAUGUGGUGGAGUAGCCGCGGGUUCGGUAGGGACUUUGCCGAGGAAUGCAAGGAGUCCGCGGCUAGCCGGGACGUCGUGAAAUCGGGCUACAGAGUUUCAGGCUUAGCCAAGCAUCGGGCGGAAAACAGCGAUUAAUUUACGGGAUGAUUGAGACUUCAGGUGGCCGAUGCGCACCCAAAAGUUCCCACCUUCCGUUUAUUUUCAUAGCAUAGCGGGGGGUGCCCCCCCAAACGUUCAACUAUGCCUAAAAAGUCUUUGAGCCGGAAGUUAAAGACGGGCGGCCCUCAACCAUUUCCCCAAUCUUCAUUCCGGAAGCCAGAAUUUGGUCCAAGACGCGGAUGGAUUACCCAAAGCUAUUAAAUCCCGUAAGUGACGCAAAUUUCCUUAGGAUUUAACAAGCGUUUUUAGAUUUUUAUGAGC